RNAcentral lists this RNase P RNA (355 nucleotides) under Alistipes sp. RNAcentral's name for it is "RNase P RNA component class A". It matches the Rfam family "Bacterial RNase P class A". Rfam says of the family: Ribonuclease P (RNase P) is a ubiquitous endoribonuclease, found in archaea, bacteria and eukarya as well as chloroplasts and mitochondria. Its best characterised activity is the generation of mature 5'-ends of tRNAs by cleaving the 5'-leader elements of precursor-tRNAs. Cellular RNase Ps are ribonucleoproteins. The record is from RNAcentral. Lineage: Bacteria; Pseudomonadati; Bacteroidota; Bacteroidia; Bacteroidales; Rikenellaceae.
GCGGAUACGCGCUCCAUCGCUGCCACCUGCGGGUGGGGGAGGAAAGUCCGAGCAACAUAGAGCACCGCGCAAGUUAACGGCUUGAUAUGCGUAAGUGUAUAGUAGCGUAGAAGAAAAUAACCGCCCGCAAGGGUAAGGGUGAGAAGGCGGGGUAAGAGCCCACCGCGAGGGUAGCAAUACUCCUCGGCAGUACGUCUCGUGGGUUGCAAGACCAUGUAUACCGACAAUUAAGGGUUGCUCGCCCAAUGUCGGGGGGUAGGUUGCUGGAGGCGGCAAGUGAUUGUCGUCGUAGAUAAAUGAUGGAGGCUCCGCCGCGUGCGGAGAACAGAACUCGGCUUAUAGCGUAUCCAAAAAA